CGCAGCCCCUGCCUUACCACACCGCUCUUCGGAGGGAGGGGCAGGCAGGCAGUGCCACAGGAGCCGGGUGAAUGGAUCAGCUCAGUUAGACCCAAGAGAGCCUCAUGCUUGUCCUAGACCUCAUUUUCCCGACCCAGUGGCAUUCCAGCCACACCUGCUGAGGCCUUGGGUACCUGCGCAUCAGAGUAGCAGCUCCUCCAGCUGGCAGAGAAAGACUUGAUUUGCCACAGUUAGCGCGGCCCACUGUGGAAGCAAUCCAGGGUUCGCUCACCACCCAGCCAUGCCAGCUGAUGCUGUUUUGAUUCCCCUAACCAGGGGCAGUCACUUUUCUAGAACUUUCUGUGUCAUGAACCCUCAAGGGAGGCAGCUAAUGCAACCCUUUCCCAAAGGGCCCUCUCCUAAUACCUGCAAAUUAUAAGGACACUAUUUGACUUGAUAUUAUUUCUGGAGGAAAAUAAAAGUCAAUAAAGG
This 471-nucleotide long non-coding RNA is filed under the name Homo sapiens (human). RNAcentral's name for it is "HSALNT0391665". The record is from RNAcentral. Lineage: Eukaryota; Metazoa; Chordata; Mammalia; Primates; Hominidae.